AUCCAACCGACGAAUCCCAAAUAGGACUAAACGCACGUUCCAGAU
Molecule: non-coding RNA, 45 nt
Filed under: Schistosoma bovis
Lineage: Eukaryota; Metazoa; Platyhelminthes; Trematoda; Strigeidida; Schistosomatidae
Also listed under: 1 other name
Source: RNAcentral